Molecule: ribosomal RNA, 468 nt
Filed under: uncultured bacterium
Lineage: Bacteria
Description: partial 16S ribosomal RNA
Rfam family: Bacterial small subunit ribosomal RNA
Source: RNAcentral
GACGAACGCUGGCGGCGUGCUUAACACAUGCAAGUCGAACGGAAAGGCCCUGCUUUUGUGGGGUGCUCGAGUGGCGAACGGGUGAGUAACACGUGAGUAACCUGCCCUUGACUUUGGGAUAACUUCAGGAAACUGGGGCUAAUACCGGAUAGGAGCUCCUGCUGCAUGGUGGGGGUUGGAAAGUUUCGGCGGUUGGGGAUGGACUCGCGGCUUAUCAGCUGGUUGGUGGGGUAGUGGCUUACCAAGGCUUUGACGGGUAGCCGGCCUGAGAGGGUGACCGGCCACAUUGGGACUGAGAUACGGCCCAGACUCCUACGGGAGGCAGCAGUGGAGAAUAUUGCACAAUGGGCGGAAGCCUGAUGCAGCAACGCCGCGUGCGGGAUGACGGCCUUCGGGUUGUAAACCGCUUUCGCCUGUGACGAAGCGUGAGUGACGGUAAUGGGUAAAGAAGCACCGGCUAACUACGUG